Molecule: transfer RNA, 74 nt
Filed under: Marmota monax (woodchuck)
Lineage: Eukaryota; Metazoa; Chordata; Mammalia; Rodentia; Sciuridae
Description: tRNA.Ala
Source: RNAcentral
GAGGUUGUAGCUCAGUGGAAGAGUGCUCAUCUUGCAUGUGAAGGCACUGACUGGGUUCAAUCCCCAGCACUACA